RNAcentral lists this long non-coding RNA (846 nucleotides) under Numida meleagris (helmeted guineafowl). Its description in RNAcentral is "lncRNA (ENSNMEG00000000437.1)". Lineage: Eukaryota; Metazoa; Chordata; Aves; Galliformes; Numididae. The record is from RNAcentral.
CCCACUAUGGGUCCCGCUAUGGGUCCUGCUACGUGUCCUGCUAUGGGUCCCGCUAUGGGUCCUGCUAUGGGUCCCGCUAUGGGUUCCACUAUGGGUCACUGAGUCCCGCUAUGGGUCGCUAUGGGUCUCUAUGGGUCGCUAUGGGUCCCACUAUGGGUCGCUAUGGGUCUCUAUGGGUCCCGCUAUGGGUCCUGCUAUGGGUUCCACUAUGGUUCACUAUGAGUCCCGCUAUGGGUCCCGCUAUGGGUCUCUAUGGGUCGCUAUGGGUCCCACUAUGGGUCGCUAUGGGUCUCUAUGGGUCCCGCUAUGGGUCCCGCUAUGGGUCGCUAUGCGUCUCUAUGGGUCCCGCUAUGGGUCCUGCUAUGUGUCCCGCUAUGGGUCGCUAUGGGUCCUGCUAUGGGUCCCACUAUGGGUUCCACUAUGGGUCACUAUGAGUCCCGCUAUGGGUCCCGCUAUGGGUCCUGCUAUGGGUCACUGUGGGUCCCGCUAUGGGUCCCGCUAUGGGUUCCACUAUGGGUCACUGAGUCCCACUAUGGGUCGCUAUGGGUCCCGUUAUGGGUCCCGCUAUGGGUCGCUGUGGGCCCCGCCACCCCAUCCCGCUCCACUUCCUACAGGGAAACCCCGCCCCGCCCCCAUGCCGCAAGCCACGCCCCCUCUCCCAUAUAAGGGCAAGCACCCCUCCCUCGGCCCCGCCCACACGGCUCAAGCACCGCCCCCUUCUCAAACCCCGCCCCCUUUUCAGACCACGCCCCCUCGGGGGCCGCGCCGCGUUUUUAUUGGCUCAGAGCAUCCCGCGCACGCGCGCCAGCGCCUCCUCCACCUUCCGCAGCUCCGCCUCCGCCUGCG